UGUAUUGUGGCUCAGUGAUAGAGCACUUGUCUCACAUGCAUGAGGCGCUGGGUUCAUUCCUCAGCACCACAU
Molecule: transfer RNA, 72 nt
Filed under: Ictidomys tridecemlineatus (thirteen-lined ground squirrel)
Lineage: Eukaryota; Metazoa; Chordata; Mammalia; Rodentia; Sciuridae
Description: Spermophilus tridecemlineatus (thirteen-lined ground squirrel) tRNA
Rfam family: tRNA
About the family: Transfer RNA (tRNA) molecules are approximately 80 nucleotides in length. Their secondary structure includes four short double-helical elements and three loops (D, anti-codon, and T loops). Further hydrogen bonds mediate the characteristic L-shaped molecular structure. tRNAs have two regions of fundamental functional importance: the anti-codon, which is responsible for specific mRNA codon recognition, and the 3' end, to which the tRNAs corresponding amino acid is attached (by aminoacyl-tRNA synthetases). tRNAs cope with the degeneracy of the genetic code in two manners: having more than one tRNA (with a specific anti-codon) for a particular amino acid; and 'wobble' base-pairing, i.e. permitting non-standard base-pairing at the 3rd anti-codon position.
Source: Rfam by way of RNAcentral